GACGAACGCUGGCGGCGUGCUUAACACAUGCAAGUCGAACGGAAAGGCCCUGCUUUUGUGGGGUGCUCGAGUGGCGAACGGGUGAGUAGCACGUGAGUAACCUGCCCUUGACUUUGGGAUAACUUCAGGAAACUGGGGCUAAUACCGGAUAGGAGCUCCUGCUGCAUGGUGGGGGUUGGAAAGUUUCGGCGGUUGGGGAUGGACUCGCGGCUUAUCAGCUUGUUGGUGGGGUAGUGGCUUACCAAGGCUUUGACGGGUAGCCGGCCUGAGAGGGUGACCGGCCACAUUGGGACUGAGAUACGGCCCAGACUCCUACGGGAGGCAGCAGUGGGGAAUAUUGCACAAUGGGCGGAGGCCUGAUGCAGCAACGCCGCGUGCGGGAUGACGGCCUUCGGGUUGUAAACCGCUUUCGCCUGUGACGAAGCGUGAGUGACGGUAAUGGGUAAAGAAGCACCGGCUAACUACGUG
RNAcentral lists this ribosomal RNA (468 nucleotides) under uncultured bacterium. RNAcentral's name for it is "partial 16S ribosomal RNA". It matches the Rfam family "Bacterial small subunit ribosomal RNA", at positions 28 to 507 of the family's 1533-position model. The record is from RNAcentral.